UACGUCCCUGCCCUUUGUACACACCGCCCGUCGCUACUACCGAUUGAAUGGCUCAGUGAGGCCUCCGGACUGGCUCGAAGAGGUUGGCAACGACCACUUCGAGCCGGAAAGUUCGUCAAACUCGGUCAUUUAGAGGAAGUAAAAGUCGUAACAAGGUUUCCGUAGGUGAACCUGCGGAAGGAUCAUUACCUAGAGUUGUAGGCUUUGCCUACCAUCUCUUACCCAUGUCUUCUGAGUACCUUCGUUUCCUCGGCGGGUCCGCCCGCCGAUUGGACAAACUUAAACCCUUUGUAAUUGAAAUCAGCGUCUGAAAAAACAUAAUAGUUACAACUUUCAACAACGGAUCUCUUGGUUCUGGCAUCGAUGAAGAACGCAGCGAAAUGCGAUAAGUAGUGUGAAUUGCAGAAUUCAGUGAAUCAUCGAAUCUUUGAACGCACAUUGCGCCCCUUGGUAUUCCAUGGGGCAUGCCUGUUCGAGCGUCAUUUGUACCUUCAAGCUCUGCUUGGUGUUGGGUGUUUGUCUCGCCUUUGCGUGUAGACUCGCCUUAAAACAAUUGGCAGCCGGCGUAUUGAUUUCGGAGCGCAGUACAUCUCGCGCUUUGCACUCAUAACGACGACGUCCAAAAAGUACUUUUUACACUCUUGACCUCGGAUCAGGUAGGGAUACCCGCUGAACUUAAGCAUAUCAAUAAGCGGAGGAAAAGAAACCAACAGGGAUUGCCCUAGUAACGGCGAGUGAAGCGGCAACAGCUCAAAUUUGAAAUCUGGCGUCUUUGGCGUCCGAGUUGUAAUUUGCAGAGGGCGCUUUGGCAUUGGCAGCGGUCCAAGUUCCUUGGAACAGGACGUCA
This 847-nucleotide ribosomal RNA is filed under the name Boeremia exigua var. exigua. RNAcentral describes it as "eukaryotic LSU rRNA". The stretch from base 1 to 188 matches the Rfam family "Eukaryotic small subunit ribosomal RNA", at positions 1646 to 1831 of the family's 1831-position model. Lineage: Eukaryota; Fungi; Ascomycota; Dothideomycetes; Pleosporales; Didymellaceae. The record is from RNAcentral.